RNAcentral lists this ribosomal RNA (253 nucleotides) under uncultured bacterium. RNAcentral describes it as "partial 16S ribosomal RNA". It matches the Rfam family "Bacterial small subunit ribosomal RNA", at positions 524 to 776 of the family's 1533-position model. The record is from RNAcentral.
UACGUAGGGGGCUAGCGUUGUCCGGAAUCAUUGGGCGUAAAGCGCGUGUAGGCGGUCCGGUAAGUCCGCUGUGAAAGUCGGGGGCUCAACCCUCGGAUGCCGGUGGAUACUGUCGGGCUUGAGUACGGAAGAGGCGAGUGGAAUUCCUGGUGUAGCGGUGAAAUGCGCAGAUAUCAGAAGGAACACCAAUUGCGAAGGCAGCUCGCUGGGACGUUACUGACGCUGAGACGCGAAAGCGUGGGGAGCAAACAGG